GAUCCUGGCUCAGGAUGAACGCUGGCGGCGUGCCUAACACAUGCAAGUCGAGCGAGAAAUAAAGAAAUGAAGCUUCGGUAGAUUUUCUUUAUGGAAAGCGGCGGACGGGUGAGUAACGCGUAGGCAACCUGCCCUGUACAGGGGGAUAGCCACCCGAAAAGGUGAUUAAUACCCCAUAACGCAAGAGAUACACAUGUAUCACUUGUCAAAGAUUUAUCGGUAUAGGAUGGGCCUGCGUCUGAUUAG
RNAcentral lists this ribosomal RNA (246 nucleotides) under uncultured bacterium. RNAcentral describes it as "partial 16S ribosomal RNA". It matches the Rfam family "Bacterial small subunit ribosomal RNA", at positions 15 to 244 of the family's 1533-position model. The record is from RNAcentral.